RNAcentral lists this ribosomal RNA (425 nucleotides) under uncultured bacterium. Its description in RNAcentral is "partial 16S ribosomal RNA". It matches the Rfam family "Bacterial small subunit ribosomal RNA", at positions 354 to 796 of the family's 1533-position model. The record is from RNAcentral.
GUUAGGAAUAUUGGACAAUGGGCGAAAGCCUGAUCCAGCCAUGCCGCGUGAACGAUGAAGGCCUUCGGGUUGUAAAGUUCUUUAGCCGAUGAUUAUAAUGACUGUAGUCGGAAAAUAAGCCCCGGCUAACUUCGUGCCAGCAGCCGCGGUAAUACGAAGGGGGCGAGCGUUAUUCGGAAUCACUGGGCGUAAAGCGUGCGUAGGCGGUUUUGUAAGUUAGGAGUGAAAUCCCAGGGCUCAACCUUGGAAUUGCUCUUAAAACUGCAAGGCUCGAAUCUCGGAGAGGAUAGCGGAAUUUCCAGUGUAGCAGUGAAAUGCGUAGAUAUUGGCAGGAACACCAGUGGCGCAAGCGGCUAUCUGGACCGAUAUUGACGCUGAGGCACGAAAGCGUGGGGAGCAAACAGGAUUAGAAACCCUGGUAGUCC